Molecule: ribosomal RNA, 506 nt
Filed under: uncultured bacterium
Lineage: Bacteria
Description: partial 16S ribosomal RNA
Rfam family: Bacterial small subunit ribosomal RNA
Source: RNAcentral
AUUGAACGUUGGCGGCAGGCCUAACACAUGCAAGUCGAACGGUAGCACAGAGGAGCUUGCUCCUUGGGUGACGAGUGGCGGACGGGUGAGUAAUGUCUGGGAAACUGCCCGAUGGAGGGGGAUAACUACUGGAAACGGUAGCUAAUACCGCAUAACGUCGCAAGACCAAAGAGGGGGACCUACGGGCCUCUUGCCAUCGGAUGUGCCCAGAUGGGAUUAGCUAGUAGGUGGGGUAACGGCUCACCUAGGCGACGAUCCCUAGCUGGUCUGAGGGGAUGACCAGCCACACUGGAACUGAGACAAGGUCCAGACUCCUACGGGAGGCAGCAGUGGGGAAUAUUGCACAAUGGGCGCAAGCCUGAUGCAGCCAUGCCGCGUGUAUGAAGAAGGCCUUCGGGUUGUAAAGUACUUUCAGCGAGGAGGAAGGCGUUGUGGUUAAUAACCGCAGCGAUUGACGUUACUCGCAGAAGAAGCACCGGCUAACUCCGUGCCAGCAGCCGCGGUAA